AUGAACGCUGGCGGCGUGCCUAAUACAUGCAAGUCGCGCGAACAGACGAGGAGCUUGCUCCUCUGACGUUAGCGGCGGACGGGUGAGUAACACGUGGAUAACCUACCUAUAAGACUGGGAUAACUUCGGGAAACCGGAGCUAAUACCGGAUAAUAUAUUGAACCGCAUGGUUCAAUAGUGAAAGACGGUUUUGCUGUCACUUAUAGAUGGAUCCGCGCCGCAUUAGCUAGUUGGUAAGGUAACGGCUUACCAAGGCGACGAUGCGUAGCCGACCUGAGAGGGUGAUCGGCCACACUGGAACUGAGACACGGUCCAGACUCCUACGGGAGGCAGCAGUAGGGAUUCUUCCGCAAAGGGCGAAAGCCUGACGGAGCAACGCCGCGUGAGUGAUGAAGGUCUUCUGAUCGUAAAACUCUGUUAUUAGGGAAGAACAAAUGUGUAAGUAACUAUGCACGUCUUGACGGUACCUAAUCAGAAAGCCACGGCUAACUACGUG
RNAcentral lists this ribosomal RNA (496 nucleotides) under uncultured bacterium. RNAcentral's name for it is "partial 16S ribosomal RNA". It matches the Rfam family "Bacterial small subunit ribosomal RNA", at positions 29 to 507 of the family's 1533-position model. The record is from RNAcentral.